UAGUCCACGCCGUAAACGAUGUCUACUUGGAGGUUGUGGCCUUGAGCCGUGGCUUUCGGAGCUAACGCGUUAAGUAGACCGCCUGGGGAGUACGGUCGCAAGAUUAAAACUCAAAUGAAUUGACGGGGGCCCGCACAAGCGGUGGAGCAUGUGGUUUAAUUCGAUGCAACGCGAAGAACCUUACCUACUCUUGACAUCCAGAGAAGCGACCAGAGAUGGACGUGUGCCUUCGGGAACUCUGAGACAGGUGCUGCAUGGCUGUCGUCAGCUCGUGUUGUGAAAUGUUGGGUUAAGUCCCGCAACGAGCGCAACCCUUAUCCUUGUUUGCCAGCACUUCGGGUGGGAACUCCAGGGAGACUGCCGGUGAUAAACCGGAGGAAGGUGGGGACGACGUCAAGUCAUCAUGGCCCUUACGAGUAGGGCUACACACGUGCUACAAUGGCGUGAACAGAGGGUAGCGAGACCGCGAGGUGGAGCCAAUCCCAGAAAUCACGUCCCAGUUCGGA
RNAcentral lists this ribosomal RNA (506 nucleotides) under uncultured bacterium. Its description in RNAcentral is "bacterial SSU rRNA". It matches the Rfam family "Bacterial small subunit ribosomal RNA", at positions 791 to 1297 of the family's 1533-position model. The record is from RNAcentral.